This 976-nucleotide long non-coding RNA is filed under the name Arabidopsis lyrata. RNAcentral's name for it is "long non-coding RNA (ALYR_LNC001521)". Lineage: Eukaryota; Viridiplantae; Streptophyta; Magnoliopsida; Brassicales; Brassicaceae. The record is from RNAcentral.
AAAAUACUCUAUUACAAACCCAAAUCCAAUAAAAUAAAACUCAAAAGCCCAAUACAAUUAACAAAACCCAAAUAAAAGCCCAAUAUAAUUAAUACCCAAUAAAAAUUUUAGGGUUUUGACAAGGAUAUGAGCUGAGCGGCUGCGGCUGCGGCUCCGGUUGUGACGGUGACGGUGAGUCGGUGAAGGUGACGACGACAGCCGCGGCAAACUCCGACCGUCCUAUUCCAGCUUUUAAGAGAGAUUGCAUUGAACGAGGUUGAUGAAGAAAGGAGAAUGGAGAUCGUAGAGGAGAACAAAGAAGAUCAAGAUGGGUUGAAGGCGGAUUGAGACGAGAACGAAGAAAAUUAAGAUGUAGAGGAGUCUUAGAAAAGAAGGAAGGAGAUGAAGAAAGAAGAACUGAAGAAGAAUGGAGAUCGUAGGGUGGAGGAGAUGAGAUCUUUUACCUCUAGGAAAUGAAUUAGAUCUAGGGUUUUUAAGUUUUUAUAGUGUGUUCCCCUAAACCGACUAAACCGAUCGGUAACCGAAUACCGAACCGACCCGAACCGAAAUCCGAUUACCCAAUUUAAUUUCGCCGAUCGGUUAGGAAGAAGCUGUUCGGUUUACGCUGAUAACCGAAAAUGUCGGUUUGAUCGGGUCGGUUUGAUCGGUUUGAUCCGAACUCCCAGGCCUAAUAGAUGAGUAGUUGUGACGAAGAUUGCAUUGUAUGUUUGUGAUGUCGGGAAUAUAUGAUGAGAACGGACCUACAAAGAAAGAACCAAAAUUCUUUAGAACAAAAUAAAAUAGUUAUAAUUAUUAAUGAAUCUUGUGUACAUAUGUGCUCUAUUUGUUAUUGAUGAAAUUGCACCCUACACCACACUACAUAACGUUUGGCCUAAUUGCCACUGGUUCGGCGGAAUCUAAUGAUUUAAAAUCCAUCCACUUGCAUACUACACAAAAUAUGUGGACUACAACGUUAUAUAUAACAACCGAAGAAAAU